Molecule: ribosomal RNA, 207 nt
Filed under: uncultured bacterium
Lineage: Bacteria
Description: partial 16S ribosomal RNA
Rfam family: Bacterial small subunit ribosomal RNA
Source: RNAcentral
UACGUAGGUGGCCUUGUAAGUCAGUGGUGAAAUCCUGCCGCUUAACGGUAGAACUGCCAUUGAUACUGCAGGGCUUGAGUACAGUUGAGGUAGGCGGAAUGUGUAGUGUAGCGGUGAAAUGCUUAGAUAUUACACAGAACCCCGAUUGCGAAGGCAGCUUACUAAACUGUAACUGACACUGAGGUACGAAAGCGUGGGGAGCGAACA